This is a long non-coding RNA of Prunus avium (sweet cherry), 428 nucleotides long. RefSeq lists it as uncharacterized. The record is from RefSeq and is a predicted model, not a curated record. NCBI's taxonomy places the organism in Eukaryota, Viridiplantae, Streptophyta, Magnoliopsida, Rosales, Rosaceae.
CGACUUCCAUUUCCCUAAGAGCAACUUUAUGUUUCUUUUCCUUCCGAACCCAUCAAAGCCUCCUCCUCCUUCAAAACCCUUCCAAAUUCCCAAACACCCUCCAUUGCCAUCUCCACUGCAAAUUUCUUCGAUAACCAGAUCCAGCGGAUGAGGCAAUAUCUUGAGGUUAGACACGACGACGGGCAUCAAUUGGCGCAACAAUCUUGGUUCUUGGGUAAUCCCUAAGGCUAUAUAAGAGCUGAGGUAUUUAUAUAUCACAACAUAUUGAUAGCUGUUGUGAUCCUGCUUUUGUGUGGCUGUUUUUGGAAAUGCUUGAUAGCUUCUUUGACUACAGAACCAUCUGCCCAAGCCUUCAGUUUUUGUUUCCAUCGUUCACCUUCUUCGUUGCCUUCUUCUUUCCAUCCGCUUCCAUUGUUCACCUGUUUCCU